This 369-nucleotide RNase P RNA is filed under the name Ruania alba. RNAcentral describes it as "Haloactinobacterium album Bacterial RNase P class A". It matches the Rfam family "Bacterial RNase P class A". From Rfam's summary of the family: Ribonuclease P (RNase P) is a ubiquitous endoribonuclease, found in archaea, bacteria and eukarya as well as chloroplasts and mitochondria. Lineage: Bacteria; Bacillati; Actinomycetota; Actinomycetes; Micrococcales; Ruaniaceae. The record is from RNAcentral.
UGAGUCGGCCAGGCGGCCGCGUCACGAGGCAACUCGUGCCGAGGAACGUCCGGGCUCCACAGGGCAGAGUGGUGGGUAACACCCACCCGGGGUGACCCGCGGGACAGUGCCACAGAAAGUAGACCGCCGUCCGGUCCGCCGGACGGUCAGGGUGAAAGGGUGGUGUAAGAGACCACCAGCGUGCCGGGUGACCGGUGCGGCUAGGUAAACCCCACUCGGAGCAAGACCAGACAGGAAGCGCACGAGGGUAGCCCGCCCGAGCUUCCGGGUAGGUCGCUGGAGGCGUGCGGCAACGUACGUCGUAGAUGGAUGGCCGCCACCGAGGCAUACGCCUCGGGACAGAACCCGGCGUACCGGCCGGCUCAUCCA